AGCUCAGCCCAGGAGUGCACCCGGUCUCGCUAGGACCCAGGAGGCGCCGGGCGGAGCGAUUCCCGGGGUCACUCAGCCUGGCAGCAGGAAGUGAAUUGCGGUCGCUGCAGUGACUCUGUGGCGGUGAAACCCACGUCCCUAGCAAGACCCCGGGGCUUCGGCUGCUGCCGCUGGGGACCCAGAGCCCUGGCUGCAGGCGGGGAGGAACAUUCCCGCUGCUCCCCGAGAGGCUCUCCCCGUGCAGAGACCCCAGCCUGUCCCGCCCGCCCUUACUGGGACCCAGAGCCCUGCUCCCAGGCAGAGCCCCACGUGGAGAGAAGAUCAUCCCAUUUUUGUGGGGGACAGGGAAGCGAAAUGGAUGUGAUGGAUCCAGCUCAGAUGCCGGUGACAUUCGAGGAGGUGGCUGUGUAUUUC
Mauremys reevesii (Reeves's turtle) is the source of this 414-nucleotide long non-coding RNA. RefSeq lists it as uncharacterized. The transcript has 3 exons. NCBI's taxonomy places the organism in Eukaryota, Metazoa, Chordata, Testudines, Geoemydidae. The record is from RefSeq and is a predicted model, not a curated record.